Long non-coding RNA from Pristis pectinata (smalltooth sawfish), 1707 nucleotides. RefSeq lists it as uncharacterized. The record is from RefSeq and is a predicted model, not a curated record. Lineage: Eukaryota; Metazoa; Chordata; Chondrichthyes; Rhinopristiformes; Pristidae. The transcript is spliced from 3 exons.
GAAGGUAUAAGUACAGACGGUGUUGGAUAGAGCGGCACCAAGUCGAGCCCAGUCUGCGCUCGUCUAACGGCCAGGAAGUAGCUGUCGUAACAUCACUGGCGCUGGAGGUCAACAUUCAUGAACAGAAUUCCACCCGGAGAACAACAGACUUAAACACCGACGGAGGCGCCUGAACUCUCGUCCAUAGAUUAGAUUCAGAAAUAUCCAUCAGCUUGGAAGUUAACAGCGGAAGCAGAGGCCUUCGCGUCAACCUUGACCGCGGACUAACUCCGCAUGGCGAUCACCUGGGGAAUGACCGAAGCUGCAAAGACGAGAAACUGUCCGUUCACGCACCAAAACCGCUCUCAGAAAGAAAACCCAGGAGUUCCACCGAGCUCAACAUUCAGUCAAUGGUCAGUCAGCUCAAAGCCGCACGACUUUGGUUGUCACAGCCAGUGAGGCUGAAACAUUCGGGGAAUCUGCAGGUCCUGAAGAACCGCUGGUUAGGAAGUUUAAAACACGAGAGCUUUAAGAGCCCGGUGUCCAAUAGUUUUCCAGAAUGGAAGCAGUGGCUUUGAUAUCUUCACAUUGAAGAUGGUGGGUGAUUUACCUUCACAAAAUAUUACUACUGUAUUUGUAGUUUCACAACACUGCACUAUAUUCACAGUGAAUAUGGGCAGCAGUUGGAGUGAUGUCGAGUUGCCCUGAUGGGUAAGCUGAGAAGGUAAUAUUCUCCGCUCUGAACCCAAAAGUCACUGUAUGGAUCUAAGUUCACAAUGCAGGCUCACGCUUCAGUGUACCACAAAGGGAAUGCUGCAUUAUUGGAAAUGCUCUGAUUUACUUGCCCAUGCAAAUGUUAAAAGACAAAACGGGCUGGUUUAAGGAACGUCUUAAAUAAUUGUUUCAAAUUCUGUGAAGCUCUAUGUGUCGCUGCUGCGGAUUCACAUGACAGCUGUUGAUGUGAAUUGGACAUUGAAAGUAAUUCUCUUGAUAAGAACGGUAAAUUGACAGCACAUGUUUUCAAAUAAAGUAAGUUUCUUUUGUAGCCAACUAGCAUAGCACAUUUCUUGUUUUACGCUGUACCUCGGGACACGUGACAAUAAUAAACUAAUUCCAACUGAAAUAUUGUAACUAUCAGUUUGUAAACUGAUUAUUAGCGCAUCACUUUUGUCCAAUAUUUUGACGAGUGAAUUGUAAAAGCUGAAGUUCCAUAUAACAUAGUGUUGUGAUCAAGUUCGUGAGUGGAACCCCUUCCAUCGUAAUUGGUCACAUGCCUUCAAAUGGAAGGAGAUGGGUUCUUUCUUAAAGGAAUAAUCAGACCCCCACUUGUGUAAUGCAGUUACAUAUAGCUGGGUUCUACAAUAUGGUAGAGUUUCUCAGCACUGCACAGUUCAUUCAGUGAAAAUAUAAAGUAAUCGGACAGAGAAUAAGAGGCUUAUCGACUUGUCUAAGUUGAUACGAUUCUCACCGCUGAGCACAAAAAUCCUGAUUUCAAGUGGCAUUCUUGUUAUGAGGACAAGAUCUGGCUCACACGUCAGUGUUGUAUCAGUGGAAUGCUGCAUCGUUAGGGGACCUGGCUGCUCCGCCCCACCAGACACAACAUGCAGGGAAACACACAGAUCUUAAUCACAUGGAGGCCAGAAGCCGACACAGGUUGGAGAAUCAAAUCGCUUAUUUUGUAACGUCUACGAAAAUACCUGUGUAAGAAAAUAAAAUUAUGUUACUCUA